CGAAGCUUCAUUUAAUUUUUGGACAGGGCGUACGUAAAAGCACAGAACUCUCUUCUUUUGAAGGGAAAUCGUUCCUCGUGCGUGCUGCAGCUGCGGCCGCUGACUCGUCUCGUCAUUAAUUUCGUGUUACUGCCUCGGCAUGCUUGUAUCGAGUGCACGUUCGAAUGGAUUAUCGAUUCUUUCAUCGUGCACAGCAAAUGGCAUCGAAACAUACAUACCUACAAGCACAGUAGCAAACAAAGUCUCAAAAUAUCCUGAAAACGUACAUUUUUAAUGAAAUUUUCUUUCAACAAUUUCGUUAGUUGGUAGACCAUACUGUGUUUCAAUAAUAUUUAAUUCACGAAUUUAUGCAACAAUAUGCAAGCGAAGAAAAAUGAAAACAAUUAUUCAUCAAGGAAUAACAUAAUAUUUUUGUUAAUACUGGAAUUACCAUGUGAGUCAACGCUAUUUGUAAGUGCUUGACAGUAUCUAAGCGCCCGUCACUUCAAUUCAGAUCACACUACACGGACGGUUUUAAUACCAAUUUCAGUUAAUUCAGGCUCUUAAUGUGAAUCAGAGCGAUUGAAUUAAAUUGAACUUUUAAUAUUACGUCCCCUCCUCUUCCUCGAGUAGUGAGGUAAUAUUGUUGUCUUUUUUCUGUGCAAACAACUAACUUCAAAGGAAGAUUCUUUUAUAAAACGCAUGUACUUUGGUAUAAGUGAAAUUACCAUUUAAUUAUCAUUAUGAGAUAAAAAGCAACGAUGAGAUGUAAAUUCUACAUGGUUUCUCUCAUUGUACAAUAUUUCCAAGAAGCAAUCGGUUCUUUGUAUCGAUUAAAUUGCUUAAAUGGGGA
Long non-coding RNA from Bombus huntii, 832 nucleotides. RefSeq lists it as uncharacterized. NCBI's taxonomy places the organism in Eukaryota, Metazoa, Arthropoda, Insecta, Hymenoptera, Apidae. The record is from RefSeq and is a predicted model, not a curated record. The transcript is spliced from 2 exons.